AUUGGAGUUGCUUGUUGCGGCAUUUCGGAUCUAAUUAAGUUUUGGCCUUUUGAGAGAUUUUCUUGUACUCCGCCUUUUCGACAUUAAUAAAUUAUUUGCUCCGUCUUCGCCCGUGGACGUAGGCCGUUGGCCGAACCACGUAAAUAUCGAUGUGUUCUUUCCUUAUCUUUUCUUUUCUUACAUUAAAUUAUUUUCUGGAUCUAUUUUUCGCCGUUCCGAUUUUAACAGAGGUACUAAUCAACUGCUCUAAAUAGUGUUGUAUUAAAUUAAAUAGUAUCAAUCCUGGUUAGGCGAUAUUUUCUUACUG
This 307-nucleotide long non-coding RNA is filed under the name Ananas comosus (pineapple). RNAcentral describes it as "long non-coding RNA (ACOM_LNC032264)". The record is from RNAcentral. Lineage: Eukaryota; Viridiplantae; Streptophyta; Magnoliopsida; Poales; Bromeliaceae.